Molecule: non-coding RNA, 292 nt
Organism: Pelobates cultripes (western spadefoot toad)
Lineage: Eukaryota; Metazoa; Chordata; Amphibia; Anura; Pelobatidae
Source: the annotation of a GenBank genome assembly
GAUGGGUUUGACAGCCAAUAUUACAAAAGGUUUGGCGACAUAUUAGUGCCUUACCUGGUUAGACUGUUCACAGAGGCAGCUCUCCAAGCUGAACUCCCCAGGGAAACGUUGGCCGCGCAUAUUGUCACACUCCCUAAACCGAACAAACCCCCAACAGUACCGCAGAACUUUCGACCCGUCUCCCUCCUAAAUACAGAUGCGAAACUGUUCGCCAAACUAUACGCUAACCGCCUGGGAAACAUACUACCGCAUAUCAUCCAUAAUGACCAGGGCUUCAUCAAAGGGAGACAGG